Molecule: small nucleolar RNA, 135 nt
Organism: Dipodomys spectabilis (banner-tailed kangaroo rat)
Lineage: Eukaryota; Metazoa; Chordata; Mammalia; Rodentia; Heteromyidae
Product: small nucleolar RNA SNORA57
Exons: 1
Source: RefSeq, a predicted model, not a curated record
CCUCCAUUUCUUGGUGGAGACCAGGCAUGCAGUCCUGUUCUCCAUUACAUACGGAGGCAGAAGGAAAGGGCUCAAGCCCUCUUGGUAUCAUGUCUUCAGUGCCAGUGACUUCUAUUUGCCAGUUCUGGGACACGC